GACGAACGCUGGCGGCGUGCUUAACACAUGCAAGUCGAACGGAAAGGCCCUGCUUGCAGGGUACUCGAGUGGCGAACGGGUGAGUAACACGUGGGUGAUCUGCCCUGCACUUCGGGAUAAGCCUGGGAAACUGGGUCUAAUACCGGAUAGGAGCCAUUUUUAGUGUGAUGGUUGGAAAGUUUUUUCGGUGUAGGAUGAGCUCGCGGCCUAUCAGCUUGUUGGUGGGGUAAUGGCCUACCAAGGCGGCGACGGGUAGCCGGCCUGAGAGGGUGGACGGCCACAGUGGGACUGAGAUACGGCCCAGACUCCUACGGGAGGCAGCAGGGGGGAAUAUUGCACAAGGGGCGCAAGCCUGAUGCAGCGACGCCGCGUGGGGGAUGACGGCCUUCGGGUUGUAAACUCCUUUCGCUAGGGACGAAGCUUUUUGUGACGGUACCUAGAUAAGAAGCACCGGCUAACUACGUG
Molecule: ribosomal RNA, 465 nt
Filed under: uncultured bacterium
Lineage: Bacteria
Description: partial 16S ribosomal RNA
Rfam family: Bacterial small subunit ribosomal RNA
Source: RNAcentral